AGUUUAAUAAACAGCACUUUAUUAAUUCAAAGGGCUAUGUCUAACACAACAGAUGUGGUACUCACAUCUGUGAGCCAUCACUGGGCACCUUUUUACAGUGGAUAACCUGCUUACACUUUCUUCAUUGGGUGAGAAGCACUAUUUCUCCCAAAACAUGAUUUGAUCCCCAGCUAUUACUAAGUGUUGCAAAAACAACAAAAAGUACCUUCAUUUCAGAACAGUUAACUGCAUAAAGGGAGGCGGAACAACUAGAUUUACAGAAACAAAAAUCUUUAUGGUUGCCAAAUUCACAGAAAGACAGAAAGGCAAUCUUUUCAAAUAUACUGUCUUCUGAAAAUCUCCAGUGCCCAGUGCCUGCUAUGGUGAAAGCCAAAGUUCCCACAAUACUACCUGAAAACAGCAGAAGGUGCCCUGGUGCUCCAUAGUAAAUUUUAAGGUCCCUGAACCAGGAGAUGUAAGCCCAGUAGGAUAAUUAUGAACAAACCAGUAUCUAGCAAACUACUCUAAGAACCUGACAUGCAGGUUGUCAUACCUAUAAAAGCUACUACACAAAACUCCAUCUCCACACAAACUUUUUUAAGGAAAAGGUGAUUAUUACUUUAAGAGAAAGAUGUUAAUCUACAAAUCUACAAAUAAAAGCAAGGGGACCAUUUCAGCAGUGUUGGAUGCCUGUUAGGUGCAGACUCUACAAGCUGGCCUCAUCAAAUUUGUUAUGGAUCUACAUGAAGAAACUUCAUUCCCAUAGAGAAUUUAGCAGGCGACAAAGGAAAAAACAGCAGCAAUAUUUUUGUGUAAUUCUGGAAGUCAAACAACACUAUAGUAUAUAGAGACGACUGAGCCCAUUAUUAAAGCACACAAGCUCCCCUAGAUCACACCUAGAUACUUUCACAGGAACCCCAGACAGAUGAAAGGUACACCUGAAAUAAUUUCACCACGUGAAUUUCACAGAAGAAAAACUUUCUUCCCAUUUUGUUAUACAAUAACUGAAUGUCACUUCCUGUGUAAUAGGCACAGGUCACAAAAGAAAUGUUAAAUAUCCAUGAGUGCAACAUCACUAGCCUAUGUUAAGAAAAAAACCCUAUUUAUCCUUACAGCUCACAGAGCAGUAAAUUUAGCAAAUCAUUAAGAGUGGUAGGAUCCUUAUAUAUACAAUGGCUCAGUUUGGUGGCAGAAGGUGAAAGCAGGGGCAUAGAGAAAUAGAGAUCUAAAAGAAAUAUUAGAAUUAACAGUUCCCUCUUGACAACUAUGCUUGCCACCCAUACUAAAGUGGGUGGCAAAAUGGGCGGCGAAACUUUUAAAGUCUUGAAUAAAUCCAUCCCUUUUAAAUAAAACUCCACAGUAAGACAUCCAGCAGCAGGGCCGGCAGAAGCAAGCUGGCACCUCCGCUCCCGGCCAGACCGCCUUUGUUCGCUAGUGCCAGCCGCUGCAGCAUCCACGGGAGCACGGAACCCCCGGGCAGCAGUGAUACAUGCAAGAGAAACUAAGCUCAAACAAAGGAGGAAACUGAAAAACACCCCAGAAGGAUAUUAAUCAGACAAGACAUGAGUAACCUGAAGAGCACUCUUCAUACUGACAAAGUGGAAAUGGCAUCUAUCCAAACACACUGGUUCAAUGAGCCUUGGUUUUGAUGACCUUAUGCCUUGUUGACCUGGUUUAAC
Passer montanus (Eurasian tree sparrow) is the source of this 1658-nucleotide long non-coding RNA. RefSeq lists it as uncharacterized. Lineage: Eukaryota; Metazoa; Chordata; Aves; Passeriformes; Passeridae. The record is from RefSeq and is a predicted model, not a curated record. The transcript is spliced from 3 exons.